RNAcentral lists this long non-coding RNA (794 nucleotides) under Rattus norvegicus (Norway rat). RNAcentral's name for it is "long non-coding RNA NONRATT015027". The record is from RNAcentral. Lineage: Eukaryota; Metazoa; Chordata; Mammalia; Rodentia; Muridae.
CCCUCCCCCCACCUCUCUCUCCCGCUUCACCCCUUCACUCUUCUCCACUCCCCAGCCCCAUGUCUCUGUCUUUCUUUGCUGUUACUGACCACUUACUGUGUAUAGGUAGUAAGAUCAGCACUGUGCUAUAAUGAUGAAAGAGUGCCGAUUAGAUCAAGGAAGGCCGCCCAUCAGGUGUUGUUACACACAGGGCUCAGUCACAGCCCGAUGCUGUUGGCGAGUGAUGUACCUUGAACUCCCUGGCCUUCCACCAUGAUCCCUUCCCAGGACCUGGCAUUCUCUAUGAGUAUGAAAUGAAUAAAUCUUUAAAAAAAAUGCUUUAAAAAAGAAUUAAACUACACUAAGGAACUGCUGAGCCGUGGGACCCCAUCGGAAGCAGUGCCGUUAACAUGGGGUUUGGAGUUAAGGGAGAAAGGUUUGGGUGCUUUUCAUGGAAGAUUCACCCUCUCGGUGAGUCAGUCAGAAGGAGGUGCCGGUUCUCUCUCCAUAGAAGGUAUCUUUUAUUGCAUCCGUGAGCUUGUUUAUGUAAUGUUUAUGUGUCCUCCUUUUCCUCUGUGGAGUCUCCUCGGGUUGGUUUCCUUGUGCAGGAAGUGCCUUGUUCAGAUGGCAGGGCAAACUGACCUCCUCUGAGGAGUCAUUCAAUACCUUGUAUUCACCCAGAAGCAAUGCUUACAGAAGGAUCUGUAACAUCAAGAAGUAUCUGAAGCCCUGAGGUAUAGAGAGGCGUGUUAAAAGCUUUUUAGUUUUUGAUGCCUUGGUUUGGCAUCCUUUUAUAAUAAAUUGAAAUAACAACG